Long non-coding RNA from Gasterosteus aculeatus aculeatus (three-spined stickleback), 275 nucleotides. The record is from Ensembl. Lineage: Eukaryota; Metazoa; Chordata; Actinopteri; Perciformes; Gasterosteidae.
GUUGGACGGACACACAGCGUCGAUUGGUCGCUCCUCUUUUGGCGGCGGGUGUGACUGGUUACACUUGACGCUGUCCUGCUUCGGGGGGUCUUUAACCGGGACGGAAAUGGCCUUGGCAACUAUGGCGGCAGAGCGGGGCUUGGCGGUACGUCCUCGCUGGACCGUCUCCCAGCCCUCAGCAUCCUUUUUACCUGGAAAACACGAGAGGUGACGUAGAUCUCGUCCACAGCCCGCCGCAGGUUGUCAAAGAGGAAGGCCCAGUAGCGCGCUCGCAG